This 438-nucleotide ribosomal RNA is filed under the name Triticum aestivum (bread wheat). RNAcentral's name for it is "partial small subunit ribosomal RNA". The record is from RNAcentral. Lineage: Eukaryota; Viridiplantae; Streptophyta; Magnoliopsida; Poales; Poaceae.
AUGUGGUUAGAAGAUGAAAGAUAUGAUGAUUCAGAACAAAAUAGUGAUUUCUACAACUCACUAGAUGAUGUGGGACUUCAUAAUUUAGACAAUGCAAUGGAAGCCAUGGAAGUAGAAAAUAGUGGUAAAAGGAGAAGAGGAUAUGGAGAAUCGUCUAUAAAAAGAGAAGGAGAAAGAGAAAGACCUACCAGAUCAGCUGGACAAUGGCCUCCAGAAAAAGAUGACUAUCAACCUACAUAUAUCCCAGGGCAAUAUAGAUAUAUGGGUACUAAAAGAAGAGAUUUUGAAAAAACAGUGCAAUUUCAGAAUUAUAAGAAUGAUGGCGCUAUAUUAAACCUAGCAGCUCAUGAUCCAAUAGAUUGGCCAAAUAUAAUCAGCAUAUUGAAAGGUUUAAUAGUGCAAAAAUAUAUACAAAAUCAGUAUAAAUAUAGGCACUAA